ACUAUUAUUUGUUAAGGGGCUACAACACCGUACUCAGCUUGAUUUUUUAUUUUAUUUUUAUUUUUUUUUCGAUUUUUUUUUAUUUUUUAUUUCUAUACAUUAACAUCUUAUUUACCUAAUGCCGUUAUCGUUUUAACUGUAAAUUGACAUUUUCAUACAUAUUUGUGCAUUUGAAGAAGGUGUGUGUGCCUGGAAAAAUAUAAAUUUACGGAAAAAUGGCCUCCAUAAACAUGCCUGUCGAUUCUUAACUAAGCGACCUAGCAUAGCAAGCCGUAUAUCAGAAUGACCGGCUUGCAAUUGCUCAUUUAAAUAACCUAAAUACAUUGACCUAGUUUUAAAUACUAAAAUAGAAAUCGCGAGGUGAAUGCAUGAUGGAAAUAAGAAAAGCUGUAUUCCCAUUGGUUACCAGGCGAAGCCAUGUUGUAAGUUACUAAAAUUAGCUCAUGUCAAGGCGACAUAUGACCGAAAUGUAAGCGGUUGCCGAGAUACCGGCUAUUAUUUUGCUCAGCGCAUGACUUCCUUUACUCGACAUCUGCGAACCUGAGUGCUUCUUUUUUAUCAAAUAAGUGCACAUUUUUUGUUUGUUGGCUUCUUUUUACGUCAAUGCCUGAAGUCUCAAAGCUAGUGCUGCCAAGCUUGCUAGGGUUGAUGCACAUCACUUGGGACUGCACAGAUGCACUAGAUGCACCUACAGUACCUGCAUCUCAGUGCACAUGCAUCGGUUGCAGCUACACUACUUCCACCAACCAUCGCAAAGAAAAUUUAGUGCUUCUGCAGUCUAAUCGCCGUAAUGCACUGAGUGGAUAGAUUGGAAGUCUUACGCAGCAGCUGAAAAAAUCUCCAGACCUACUUCAAGAAGGCAGUUUCAAGUAAGACUGGCAGUACAGGGAACUGAGGUGGAAAGUUGGAGCUCCUUCUAAUCAUGUCCCUUUGACAGAUGAAAGGACACACACCAGGAUUGACAGACAGGGAAAACCUCCUGGUGCUUCUGGCAAAUGUGUCAUGGUACAUAAUUCAACACCGCUAUCUCACAAAGGUUCAUCAUUCAUCUUAGAACAUGUUGCCAAAGCUGUCCAAAAUGUUUAUUAGCAACUGACGACAAAUGCCAUAUUGAGCAGUUGCAUGAUAGAUUCAACCCAAAUGAAAGUCUUUCUGCAUGCAUCUAGGCAUAUGGCCCCAAUCAUGGGAUUACAUGACAGUUAGUAAUACUGAAAGAUGGCUGUUAUUUCACCCAUAGCCCAACAGAAACUAGUUCAGGCUGAAGGCAGAUCAUCAUAUUUUUCUUCGGCUUUCUAAAUAGAGAAUGAUUAGGCCUACUGUAACUAUUUUGUUUUUGUAAUGUUAGUAAUAUGCAAAUGUUUUCAGAGUUGUAUACUGUACCUCUAUGUAGCUAUUUUGUAAGCUAAUUCAAUUUUUUUGUAAAUUUUACUUGACCUGUUUUGAAGUUUUUUGUUCAGGGGUACAUUUAUAAAACCUGAUUUACAAGAAUAAUUACUCCUUAAUUUCAGAAACCAAAUGAUAAUAGUAACUUCUGUACAUACUAAAACUAUUUAAUAAGCUUUUACUAGGAUAUUAUUUGAUUUAAAAGCUUUUAUUAAUUUUUAAAAUAUUUUUGAUAACUCUUAUUUACAAUUUAUUUUUAGGGGGUGCACCUCAUUAAACCUAAUUACCAAGACUAAUUAUUGCUUGAUUUGAUUGAAACUUUGAUUAUAGUAUCUUGUAUACAUUGCUUAAACUAUAUGAUAAGCUUUUGAUAAGAUAUAAAGAGUGUUUAACAGUUUUUUUUCAUUUUCAAACACGUUUUCCCCUUUUUCUCACAAUUUUGUUUUUUUACCAGUUUUAAAACUUCAAAAUUAUGAUCUCAAAUACUGUCUAUUAGAUUUCAAUGAAAUUUGUACAGUAGAAACACAACAUAAUUACUGUUAGAGUAAUAGAGACUUUUUUAGGUUAUCUUGAGUAGUUUUGUUUUUAGAGAAUUUCAAAGUUGAUUUCAUGGUUAAUAUUUUAAUCUAAAAACAAAAAAUUUGUAACUUCAACAUUUUGUCAUAUAUUCAAAAAGUCUCUCUAUUCUCCUGUUAGGAAUCCUCUCCUUUAUUUAAAUUAGAAGUUUUAAGUCAAUACAUUAAAUGGUUAUUGAGUUAAACAGAUUGAAGCAUGAUAUGUCUAAAUCAUUUAUUUCUGUAUUUUUUAAUCGGCUAACGCUGAAGACACAUUCACAUUGGUCUAAAAGUAUAUAAAAUAUCUUUAUAACUGCAA
Physella acuta is the source of this 2256-nucleotide long non-coding RNA. RefSeq lists it as uncharacterized. The record is from RefSeq and is a predicted model, not a curated record. NCBI's taxonomy places the organism in Eukaryota, Metazoa, Mollusca, Gastropoda, Physidae.